RNAcentral lists this ribosomal RNA (443 nucleotides) under uncultured bacterium. RNAcentral's name for it is "partial 16S ribosomal RNA". It matches the Rfam family "Bacterial small subunit ribosomal RNA", at positions 338 to 795 of the family's 1533-position model. The record is from RNAcentral.
CCUACGGGUGGCAGCAGUGGGGAAUAUUGGGCAAUGGGCGCAAGCCUGAACCAGCAACGCCGCGUGAAGGAAGAAUGCUUUCGGGUUGUAAACUUCUUUUGUCAGGGACGAAGCACGUGACGGUUCCUGACUAAUAAGCCACGGCUAACUACGUGCCUGCAGCCGCGGUAAUACGUAGGUGGCAAGCGUUCUGCGGAUUUACUGGGUGUAAAGGGCGUGUAGGCGGGACUGCAAGUCAGAUGUGAAAACCACGGGCUCAACCUGUGGUCUGCAUUUGACACUGUAGUUCUUGAGUACUGGGGAGGCAGACGGAAUUCGUAGUGUAGCGGUGAAAUGCGUAGAUAUUAGGAGGAACACCGGUGGCGAAGGCGGUCUGCUGAACAGCAACUGACGCUGAGGCGCGAAAGCGUGGGGAGCAAACAGGAUUAGAUACCCGAGUAGUC